Molecule: non-coding RNA, 141 nt
Filed under: uncultured Fictibacillus sp.
Lineage: Bacteria; Bacillati; Bacillota; Bacilli; Caryophanales; Fictibacillaceae
Description: FMN riboswitch (RFN element)
Rfam family: FMN riboswitch aptamer (RFN element)
About the family: The RFN element is a highly conserved domain that is found frequently in the 5'-untranslated regions of prokaryotic mRNAs that encode for flavin mononucleotide (FMN) biosynthesis and transport proteins. This element is a metabolite-dependent riboswitch that directly binds FMN in the absence of proteins.
Source: RNAcentral
UCCUUCGGGGUCGGGUGAAAUUCCCAACCGGCGGUGAUGAGGCCGAGAGCCUCUUAGUCCGUGACCCGGUUUUGCUUUUAGCAGAAACGGUGGAUUCGGUGCAAUUCCGAAGCCGACAGUAUAGUCUGGAUGGGAGAAGGA